Marmota monax (woodchuck) is the source of this 6833-nucleotide long non-coding RNA. RefSeq lists it as uncharacterized. The record is from RefSeq and is a predicted model, not a curated record. The transcript has 3 exons. NCBI's taxonomy places the organism in Eukaryota, Metazoa, Chordata, Mammalia, Rodentia, Sciuridae.
UAUUACUUCUAUAUAAUACUUAUUUGAUAUUUUGUUCUGUUAGUUCAACUGAAUGUAAUAAAACUAAAAUUGUGUCUGGUUUACAGAAAUCCAAUUACUCUCAAACUUUAUUAUUUAUUUCAUUUUGAAAGUACCUUCUCUUUCCUCCUAGCACCCAGAUUUUCAACUAUAUGGAUCCACAUAGCUGUAGCCUUAUGCUAUCAUGGUUCACAAAUAUAGUACUUUCUAUAGGUCUAUGCUGCUUGUGAGGAGUAUCAUAUAUAUUAAAUAAACAGUUUUCACUAAUGAAUACAUCAAUUUACAUACCUGCUCAAGUUCAUGAGAAUUUGUUUCAUGUCCUCAUCAAUAUUUUUUUGUAUCUGAUGUUAUUUUCUAUUUCUCUAAUUUGUUUCAAUGUUGAGAGGUUUAGAAUUUGAACAUUUCUUCCACAAAAAGUGGUUAUUAAAGUCUCUUACCUCAUUUUUAAGAAAAAAAUAAAUAAAAAGCAGAAUCAUUUAAAAAUACCUAACAGUGUUUCUAGGUAGAGAAUUAUGGAUUUUUUUUUUUAAUUGGAGAGAUUCCAAGAUAAAAAAGAUACUCUUUUGUAUCAGGUGACUAUCACCUCUAGAGGUAAGCAGCUGGAGCUUACAAUCCCUUCUAUUAAACUCAGGAGUGCUCUACUGCUGAGUUACAUGCCUAGCCCUUUAAUUUUUUUCAGACAGCAUCUCUAUUUGCCAAGGUUGGCCUCAAAUUGUGUUCCUCCUGCUUCAGUCUCUCAAGUUGUUGGGAUAACAGGCAAGCAGCACCAUGCCAAGUCCCAUGGCUACCCAUUCAAAAUUGCAUAUUGGCCAAAUGCAAGGAAGUACAUUUGUAUCUGUGACUAGAUCUGGAUAGUAAAGAAAAUAAAUUGUUUAAGGUUGAGAGGCAAAAAAGCUUCAAGCUUAAGGAAAAAACCCCAAAUCUUAUUCUAAAUAACAGAUUCUAUUCCACAACUAUUUUCUAGUAUAUUUUUUAUAUUAUUUUUAGCCAAAGAGAAAAAAAUAUUUCCCCUUUGAUAUUGUAUUCUCUUUUUCCUUUUUAAACCUUUAAUACUAAAAUCCUUAAUAAUUUAUGGGACAACAAUGUGAAGAAAUAUUAUAUAUGUAAUAAAAUAGUACAAAAAUACUAAAUAAAUCAUGCACAAAAUGUUUAAUAAAACAUCAUGUAAAAAUGCAUGAUGUAGCUGGGUACAAUGGUGCACACCUGUAAUCCCAGUGUCCCAGGAGGCUGAGGAAGGAGGAUAGUAAGUUUGAGGCCAGCUUAGGCAAUUUAGUCAGGCCCUGUCUCAAAAUAAAAAAUAAAAAGGAGGGGGCAUGUAGCUCAGUGGUAGAAUAUCCCUGGGUUCAACCUCCAGUACUUUUUUUUGUUAAACAACAAACAAACAAACAAAAACAAAAACAAAAACACAAACCAAAACAAUGGAUCAUGAAAAAUAGCAAGGGUAAUUUAAUUGCAACAAUUAGAAAAAUAAGGAUACAAAUGAGUACAAACUAAAGAAAAUAUGAAAAAAAUAUCAAAAUAGUUGUAUAUGUUGGUUCUAGAGGUUGAGUAUCUCUUAUCCAACAUGUUUUGGAUCAGAAAUGUUUCUAAAUUUGUAUUUUUUAUAAUUUUGGACUAUUUGCACAUACAUAAUGACCUAUCUUGGAGAUGAGUCCCAAGUAUGAAUUAAAAAAACUCUGAUGUUUUAUAUAUACUUUGUACACAUAGCUUGAGGUAAUUUUAUACACUAUUUUUAGUGUAUCUACAUUAGGUCAGUUGUGAAUUGUCUACUUGCUGUGGUGUUCAGAAAGUUUCAGAUUUGGGGGAUUUCAGAUUAGGGAUUCUCAAUUUGUAUUAAAAUGGUGGGAUAAUUAGGUAUGUUUCAUCUAUGACAUAUAAUAGUCAUCAGAAAUAAAAUCCUUUAUAAUUAUACUUAAGUUUAUUGAAAAUGUUUCCAAAUAUCUAGAAUGUCACAACAAAGAUUUUAAUUUUCACUUUCAAAAAGUAAACAACAGGGCUGGGGCUGUAGCUCAAUAGUAGAACACCUGCCUCGCACGUUUGAAGCACUGGGUUCAAUCCUCAGCACCACAUAAAAAUAAAUAAAGAAAGAUAUUGGGCCCAUAUAAAACUAAACAAAAAAAAUUUUAAAAAGUAAACAAAAAUAAAAACAGCAUUUCCUUCAUCAUUCUUUCCCUUAUAUACAUUUAUCGGUAUGUUAUUUAUACAUAAUACUGGGAUUUGUUGUUACAUUCUCCUACAUGUACAAAAUAUAACAAUAUAAUUUGGUCAGUUUUGUUCCCAAGCACCUCCCCCACCCCCUGCCCAUUUUACCCCUUACAGAAACUAAGUUCUUAGGUGUCCUCAGACUUAAAAACAGAAAUCACCACCUCUCCUACCCAUCAUCUGUAAUACAGGUAAUAUUAAUUUCAACAUCCAUAAAAGUCAUUUAAAAUUAGGUGUUGUUUUAAAUAGAUAGUAUAUUAUGACAUCAAAAAGAUGGUUACAAAUACAACUCAGAAGAAUGGGGAAAUCUACCCUCUUUUUUAAAAAAUAAUUUUUAGUUGUUGAUAGAUCUUUCUUUUAUUUAUUUAUAUGUGGUGCUGAGAAUCGAACCCUGUGCCUCACACAUACCAGGCAAGUGCAGUACCACUGAACUACAACCCCAGCCUGAAAUCUACCCUCUUAAUGCCAAAUGCAAAGAGAAGAAAAUUAUGCUAAGGGAUAGACUUGUAACUAGGUAAAUUAUCUACUGCGAUGUGAUCACUUCAAGAUUUAUAUAAAAGAAGAACAGAGGACAAGAAUUAACUUUUUUGUUGUUGUUAUAAAAGUAAUAAAUGACCAUUAUAUAAAACCUGGAAAAAUCAGAAGCAGAAAGGAGAAAACAAUCAUUAGGCAGAAAGCAGUGAACAAUGGUGUGAUCUUUCUACCUCUUUCUUUGAAUACUGCACAGUUGUAAUCACAUUUCACAAAUAAAUUUCAGCAUCCCCCUCCUCAAUGUUAUUAUGUAACUUUUUCUGUAGUACUGAGGAUUGAGUAUAGGGGCAUUCUACCACUGAGCUACAUACCUAGCCCUUUAUUAUUAUUAUUAUUUUAAAUUUUGAGGCAUUAUUUUGCUAUUUUGCUUCCUAAGUAGCCUCAGUUGGCCUUGAACUUGUGAUCCUCCUUCCUCAGCUUCCUGAGUCACUGGUAUUACAGGUAAGUGCUGCCAUAACUAGCUCAUCAGACUUUCUUUAUGUCAUCAUAUGAUAAAUAUAAUGAAUCAAUUAUCGUUUAUAAGGUUUCUACACUAACCCACAGAAACCCUUACAAAUGCAACGGGCAGAAGGACAGCUACUGGGAGAGAUGGCAUGAAAGACCCAUGGAAAGAGAGGGUUAUUAAGAAUCUUCUGGAGGGAAAUAGAGUGAGGAACCCAAAGGAGAAGUAGGGAAGAGGGAGGAAAAAGGGAAACAGAGACAGUAGUAGGGCAGGGGAUGGAAGGAAAGCAACAUGUGAGGGUCAAGAGAGUAGUAAGGGAAAGGGUAGGGUGAGGACUGUGGCCAGGCUGUUAAGGAACCAGGUCAGUAAUGGCAAAGAUGUGAAGGAAGCAAACAGUAUGCAAAUUGGAAAAAGCCAACGGAAAAAUUAGUUGAUUAGAAGUUUACUACUGGGCAGCCAAUCUCAGCAGAGAAGUGUAAACUAAAGUUGAAUACAAUUAAAGGGGGUGAGAACAGAAUGUAAACCCCUCACAUGGAGAGAGGCUGCUUCUUCAAGUAGUUUAGCAAGGUGAGUCUGGAGGCACAGUUAACUGUGUAACCUGAGUCUGAUUUCAACAUAUGCACUAUGGAGCUAUCAUUAAAAUAACAGCGAAGACUACUGAGUUACUUUUCCAUGCCAGGCACAUUGCUUAGGCAUGUUGCUGCUAUAGCUCAAUAAAGCAUCAUGGCUACCCUACAAAGUAGGUGCUAUUAUUAUUAUUAAAAGCUUAAAAUUGAAGAAACUGAGGUUGAAAUAUUAGUUUACUAAGAUGAUAAGCCCAGGAAUAGAGAAGCUGGGUUUGAGCUAACACCUGGAAAGCGUAUUCUUAGGUCACAAAAAAACUGACUUGUUUUUUGGUACAGCAAAGAGCCCCAAAGGGACAAUUUAAAGGGAAAUGCUCAUUUUUUUGGAGGAAAAUACUAAUUCUUUUUCUCUUUUUCAGUCCUGGAGAUGGAAUGCAGAUAAUCAUGCAGUCAUGCUUGAAAGUGCUCUACCACUGAAUUACACGCUAGUUCUUUUUUAUUUUGAGACAAGGUCUCACAAAGUUGCCCAGGGUAGCCUUGGACUUGUGAUCUUCCUGCCUGAGCCUCCCAAGUAGCAAGGAUUCCAGGUGUGUAUCACCACACUUGGCUGAUAUUAAUUCUCGAAGUGGUAGAAUGUAGGAGUCACUGCAGACUUAAGAAUGGCUAUGUUACCUUAAGAUACAAAUAAAGGGAGGAUGGGACAAUAGUAAGAAAAAAAGGAAGUAUUUUCUGAUUUUGAAAGUCAUGAAUGGCUAAUAUAGAUAACUCAGAAAAGUAGAAAGAAAAAAGUCAUCAUCAGGCAGAUGGCCAUAAAGAACAUGUAUUUCUCCUGUAACAUGCAAAAGCGAUUGCACUGGGCUUCAUGGAAUUUUGUACUUGAACAAACUCAGGAGAUUUGGGCAAACUGCCAAUACAGUCCAAACUUCUUAGCAGAAACUAGAAUGUUUUUCAGGGAACUGAGUAUCCUGAGGGAAUGGCUAGAUGUAAAAGGACAACUGAAAUUUGGAGGAGAGGAAAAAAAGAGUGUGCUUGGUUGCUCGACUUCCAAAGAACAAGGAUGGAACUGCACUUUUUGUGAAGACUGAGGCCUGAUCAUGCUGAUUUAGUAUUAAAAGAAAAAUCUGAGAGGCACCCAUAGGCUGCAUAACACUAUGUAACAAAGAGAAGAGUGAAGACUGUGGAUACAACAAGACUUGCUGUUGUCCUUCAUUCUUGCUGGAAGCCACCUGACCACUGCCAGGAAGAGGAAUGCAAAACAUUCCCAGGAGUGGCCCUGACGUCAGGGCCACAUUCCACCUCUCCACAGUCAGGGCUGUCGGGAAGCUCUGGCCUCCAGCAAAACCCCUAGAAGAGAUAGCAGCUGGGCCUGCACUAAAUCAUACUAAGAACUCCUUCAUAUUGUACUUUAAAAAUGGACAGUAUCUUGUGAAUGCAGUGGGAAGGUGGUGGGUGGACGGAUGGAGGGAAGACAAGAGAGAAAGCCAGAGAGGGAGAAAGAAUAGGAACAAAAAGAGCUGGCUUUCUAAGAGACAUUACUGUUAAUCUUCACAACUAUUUUUUGUUUGUUUGUUUUUGUGGGUGGAAAAAAGGGAAAAAUAAGUAAGUAGCAAUCUUCAGAUGUCCAUUUAUCUUAGGCAUCAGAGUGUAGACUGAUUGAGAUGAACAACAGAAGAGUUUGGGCUUCAAUCACCAGGCCUUCCUCUAGUAAACCACCUAGAAGCCCUGUCUCCAAACCCUUCUUGGGAGGAAGACAAAAAUCCCAUUCAGGGAUGCUUUAGAAACACUAAGAAAGCAGUUGGUUCAUUUUUAAUAAUGAGACAUACUGAACAUAGAAAAUUGCACAUAUGGUUGGCAUAUAACAUUUUGUCAAGAUUGUGAUUUAUAUUUCUUAGAUUAAUAAUGAAACUAUUAAGAAUCUUGUUCUAACUAUAUCACAAGGUUAUAAGAUAUUAAAGUACUCAGAUGUUAUUUGACUUCUCUGUUUGGUGGGUGUUGUAACAUGUUACUAGGUAAAGAUACCUGAAGUAUAUAACUGGAAAUUUCAUCACAGUUGUCAAAAUAUGCACCUGUAAAUGGCAUUCUCCUAGGCCCUAAAGGUAACCGAGUUUCUACCUUCUGCAUAGAACAAAUAUCAAAAGGCCUAGAUGCCAAAUCAUUCUGAAAAAAUACAGACUUAGGGAUAUUUAUAAUGUCUCCUGCAUACCCACCUCCUAGCUGUACCCCGUGUGGUCACAGACAGGAAAGUCAGCAUUGCAGAUGCUGCCUCAGGGCUUCCUGACUUUCAUGAGGGUCAGGAACAGUUGAGGCUACAGAGUAAGUAUCUGGAGGCAAAUAAUGCAUGAUGAACAUAAUAAGCAAGAGGACCAAAGUAAUGGUUUAAGUUAUAGGGAUAUUUGGUGAUAGACAGUUAAUGAGGGGGUUCCUAGAACCAGAAUAGCUGAGAAGCAUGGGAAACUCUGGUCUGAGCUGUCAGUCAAGUGACAGAGGCCUGAUGUGAUCCAGCAUGACUGUACCAACAGUCCCUCUUCUUGGCCUAGCUGAGUCAGUUGGAGGUCUACAGACUCUAACUAAAGGAGAGAGGUUGGGUCCUUUAAGGAAAGAGUAUUCAAUAAUCUCGUCAUGUAACUUAAAAUUGCCAUUCUGCCCUUUCCCAAUGGAUAUACAGCUACUUUGGAGGAGAAAUGGAAAUAACCAAAGCUCUCAGGAUUUGUUAGAUGUUGUACCUGAAUUGAUGCUAAUCCUCAAGGGAUACCUGGGCAUCCUGUCGGUUAAGUGGAAGGCUUCAUGAGUGUCAAACACAAAUGGAGUCUAUCUUAUGAUUACCUGUCUAGAACCUGAGUUUACACAUGGAAUACAUACUCACAAAUAGACAGAAUUUCCACAUUUGUGCCUGGACUCAUGUACAGUAGUCCUCCCUCAACUGUGGGGAUAUAUUUCAAAACUUCUAGUAUUGAACCCUAUCUGGCUUUUCCUAUAUUUAAAUAACCAUGAGAAAGUUUAAUUUAUAAAUUAGGCACAGUAAGAGAUUAAUAAUAAUGACUAAUAAAAGUUUAUGCUGUAAUAAAAAUUAUGUGAAU